GGCGGAAUAGCUCAGCUGGCUAGAGCACGCGGUUCAUACCCGCGGUGUCGUUGGUUCAAGUCCAAUUUCCGCUA
Molecule: transfer RNA, 74 nt
Filed under: Lachnospiraceae bacterium
Lineage: Bacteria; Bacillati; Bacillota; Clostridia; Lachnospirales; Lachnospiraceae
Also listed under: 3 other names
Description: tRNA-Met
Rfam family: tRNA
About the family: Transfer RNA (tRNA) molecules are approximately 80 nucleotides in length. Their secondary structure includes four short double-helical elements and three loops (D, anti-codon, and T loops).
Source: RNAcentral